Molecule: long non-coding RNA, 631 nt
Organism: Fundulus heteroclitus (mummichog)
Lineage: Eukaryota; Metazoa; Chordata; Actinopteri; Cyprinodontiformes; Fundulidae
Exons: 6
Source: RefSeq, a predicted model, not a curated record
UGAAAACGUCAGAUUCAGGAUGGUACCGGUGUCGCUCUGAUACAUGGACAGGAACUCUAUAUGUUGAUUUUUAUCUCGAUGUGACUGAAGCCUCCACAACAACAACAACACCACAGAGUCUGAGUUCCUCACCUUCUCCAUCCUCCUCUGAAACCAGCAAACUCCCAGAGGAACCAGCUGCAGCUUCAGGUUUUCUGCUUUAUAUGAUUCUGUCUCUGGUCGCCAAGAUCAUCUUAUUAUCAGCACCUUUGGUGAUUUACUGCAAGAACAGGAGGGUCACCAAGAGCAAAGCAGAUCAGUCAGGACUGAAGGAUCCCUGAGGAGGCAGGAGAUAAAAUUAAACAUCUGACUGAAGAUCCUGCUGUGGAAACAGAGUACACCGUUGUCUCUCAGACCAACCCAGAGACAGAGAUAACCAGAGGAGGACUGAUCAAAUCCUCUGCUGAGGAAAUAUCUUCAGUUUAGACAUAAACUAAACCCUGACACAACCAGAGCUCAAAGUACAGAUGAGGAACAUUUCCUCAGAUUUUUUUUUCUCAACAAAAUAAGUCAAUCUGUGUCAGGAUUUAAGCUCUCGGAUAAAAACACAGAAAAUCUAAUUUAAAUGUCUUUUUUAAAGUUCAGCAGUAGC